RNAcentral lists this ribosomal RNA (301 nucleotides) under uncultured bacterium. RNAcentral describes it as "partial 16S ribosomal RNA". It matches the Rfam family "Bacterial small subunit ribosomal RNA", at positions 509 to 808 of the family's 1533-position model. The record is from RNAcentral.
CAGCCGCCACGGUAAAACCGAGGGUGCGAGCGUUAAUCGGAUUUACUGGGCGUAAAGCGUGCGUAGGCGGCUUCUUAAGUCGGAUGUGAAAUCCCUGAGCUUAACUUAGGAAUUCAUUCGAUACUGGGAAGCUAGAGUAUGGGAGAGGAUGGUAGAAUUCCAGGUGUAGCGGUGAAAUGCGUAGAGAUCUGGAGGAAUACCGAUGGCGAAGGCAGCCAUCUGGCCUAAUACUGACGCUGAGGUACGAAAGCAUGGGGAGCAAACAGGAUUAGAUACCCCAGUAGUCCCUGUCUCUUAUACA